GAUGAACGCUGGCGGCGUGCCUAAUACAUGCAAGUCGAGCGAACAGACGAGAGUGCUUGCACUCUCUGACGUUAGCGGCGGACGGGUGAGUAACACGUGGGUAACCUACCUAUAAGACUGGGAUAACUUCGGGAAACCGGAGCUAAUACCGGAUAAUAUUUAGCUUCGCAUGAAGCAAUAGUGAAAGACGGUUCUGCUGUCACUUAUAGAUGGACCCGCGGUGUAUUAGCUAGUUGGUGAGGUAACGGCUCACCAAGGCUACGAUACAUAGCCGACCUGAGAGGGUGAUCGGCCACACUGGGACUGAGACACGGCCCAGACUCCUACGGGAGGCAGCAGUAGGGAAUCUUCCGCAAUGGACGAAAGUCUGACGGAGCAAUGCCGCGUGAGUGAAGAAGGUUUUCGGAUCGUAAAACUCUGUUGUAAGGGAAGAACAAGUACGUUAGUAACUGAACGUACCUUGACGGUACCUUACCAGAAAGCCACGGCUAACUACGUG
RNAcentral lists this ribosomal RNA (499 nucleotides) under uncultured bacterium. Its description in RNAcentral is "partial 16S ribosomal RNA". It matches the Rfam family "Bacterial small subunit ribosomal RNA", at positions 28 to 507 of the family's 1533-position model. The record is from RNAcentral.